UGACUGAGAGGUUUAUUUUCAUAGGAGCC
This 29-nucleotide non-coding RNA is filed under the name Homo sapiens (human). The record is from RNAcentral. Lineage: Eukaryota; Metazoa; Chordata; Mammalia; Primates; Hominidae.